GCCUAUACUCUGCUGAAAAAUAAGCUCGGCACCUCAGCACGAGCGUAAAUGCCAUCUAAACUAUCCUAGGUAUCCAUCGCACUAAUACUACAACGAUACAAUCGAAUUUCGGCUCCUAGAGCUAAAUUUGGUAGUUUAAGCAUAUGACGGGUCAAAAACGCGGCUUUUCUCCUAAGUCAAAUUUCAAGUCCAACAUGUAUAAUAUAAACAUUCAUUUCAGCAUGCUUUUAUAUUCAUAUUACGUCCAAAAUGCUAAUCGAUGAAUUAAAGCAUGAUAUACAAAAAUCGAACUAUACACGUCGACUAAACAUGCACUUAGGAGCGAAACCGAUGAUACACCCACCUCUAGUGCAAUUCCUGGCAGCAAGAUGGUCUCGGAUCACAAGCAACACUGCUGGAAACACCUCCAAACCAGCAACAAAGCCCCUCAAGAUCUGGAUUUACAAUUCACCCAAAAAUCCAAUAAAAACCAUCAAUUUACCAAAAUUUCAGCACUUAAGCUUAAUUAUCUCAAUUCCAAUAUCAAAACUCACAUAAUGAGCUCCAAUUCGGGUGAGGACAGAUCCAAAUCCAGCAACUACUGAAGGGUGAUCAAACUCAGGUCCAAAAUCCCACUGCCAACAAAGAUAGCAUCAAGAAAAACUCGAAAAUCCCAUUUUCAGCUCAAAGCCAACAGCAGUCCAGAAAAACCUCAAUUUGACCAAGCUAACCUCAACCAAAAUCUGCAAUUCAGGGCUUCGUGGAUUGCUCUGGAAGUCUAGAAUCCAGCAAACCAAGUUUCGUCGAAAUCCGACCUUCCUACGUCG
This 806-nucleotide long non-coding RNA is filed under the name Ananas comosus (pineapple). Its description in RNAcentral is "long non-coding RNA (ACOM_LNC014772)". Lineage: Eukaryota; Viridiplantae; Streptophyta; Magnoliopsida; Poales; Bromeliaceae. The record is from RNAcentral.